Molecule: long non-coding RNA, 3197 nt
Organism: Sphaerodactylus townsendi
Lineage: Eukaryota; Metazoa; Chordata; Lepidosauria; Squamata; Sphaerodactylidae
Exons: 2
Source: RefSeq, a predicted model, not a curated record
CUCACCUACCUCACAAGGUGUCUGUUCUGGGGAAGGGGAGGAGUUGUAAGCCGCUUUGAGACUCCUUGCAGUAAAGAAAAGUGGAAUAUAAAUCGAACUCUUCUUCUCAUGCCAUUUUGUGCUUUGCAAAUAAGUUUCUAUAGAGGUUUCAUGUUUCCCAAGCUCCUAAUACACUGUAAGCUUGUGUACUUUUUACUCCAGUACAUUUGUUGCUUUUUGUUGCAAAUGUAACUACAGUCUAUGGUGCCCUUCAGCUUCCUGUUAACAACAUACAACAAUGGGGUAAGUGCAGUGUAGAAGAUGGAAGAAUACAUAUAUUGGAAUGUAGGCAAGGUAUUUUUGUAAUGAUCAUGAAUUAAGGUCCCUUGAAGAUAUUUUUGCAUAUCGAAUACAGACCCCAUUAAGGAUUCAGACAUGAUCAUCAGAAUGUGGACACAGAAAAAUUAUAAAAAGACUCCAUGUUUCUUAAGCAUAAUGCUGAAGCACCAAACGUGCGCUUUCACUACCACCUUGGCCAGAAUGAUGCUGAAUAUACAUAAGCAAUAUACAUGUAAGUCAAGUAAGGAAGUUAGGCUUACCGUCCUUCAGUUUAAUAUGUUUCAUUUUGCAAAGCUAUUUAAAAUUAGUACCAUUGCUUUCAACUUUUGAUUUGGUGGAACUAACACAAAACAAGGCUAAACACCUCCAGACAUUCAGUGUAUGUGUGUUUGCAAUGGAGUUCCUCAUGUGCAGCUUGAGACUCUAUAACAGUGGUUCUCAACCUUCCUAAUGCCGCGACCCUUUAAUACAGUUCCUCAUGUUGUGGUGACCCCCAACCCUAACAUUUAUCCAUUUUACAGAUGGAGAACACUGAUGCAGAGAGUCUUAGGCGAUCCCUGUCAAAGGGUCAUUCGACCCCCAAAGCGGUCCCGACCCACAGUUUAAGAACCACUGCUCUAUAAAGUUUCUUACCCAUCUUACUCUUUUUGAUUUUUAUUUAGAUACUGAUUUUCUAAAAAGCAUCAAGAGAAAUUAAUCAUUCCUGGGGUUAUUCCAGAAUAUUAUAAUCAAGAUGUGGCUAAUUCUUCCUAUUUGAAAAGAAAGUCCGUGUGUUAAGCUGGAGACACUUAGUGAGAGUAAAAUGGGUUGGUGUGCCUUUUAUACUGUUUUUAAAACAGCACAGCAAAACAUCACAGAACAUUACAGAACGCAAUGUUUUCAACUCCUUUUAAUAAUCUAACCUUUUCAUAUUUGUUAAAGCAAAAUGGGACUAAUUUGUUGAAGGCUUUCACUGCCGGAAUCACUAAGAAGUUCUGGGUUUUCCGGGUUGUACAGACUGGGGCACAACCUGUUGUAAACCACAGAAGUAUUGUACUCACCUCCCCCUAUCUACAGGGUAGUCAAUAGGCUAAGAGCCAAAGUUAAAGUAUGUUUCUACAGUUACCAAAGAGGAAUCUAUAAAGUACAAGGCACCUCCAUUACACCCAAUUCAUUAUUUACUUGAAAAAAAUGUACUUGAAAUAUGAGAUAGUAGGAGAUGCAGAUAAGAUACAUAAUGAAGUUGAUCUUGAUUUUGCAACUGGCAAGUUCUGUACUGUGAGGAUCAUUUUUUAACCUUCCUUUGCUUGAGAAACAAGCACUUUUCACCUGAAGAAAUUAAAAUAAAAAUAGGAAAUGGCUAUCAGAAAACUGAUGGAGGUUAAAAGUAAUAGAAACAGGCUUUGACUGGUGCAGAGGAAAGCUUUCAAGAAAGAUCUGCAUCUUUGUGCAAAUGGCUGUAACAAGGAGAAAAAAAUUCCAAUCUCUCAGCUGGAUAUCCCCUAUAUGCACCUUGUCCCUCAUCAGAAAAAGACAAAAGCCAGCAACCUGUUUUCCUUUUCACAGAAGUGGUGGCAUAGGAGAUGUGUGAAAGUUGUUGGGUGGGCUUUCACAUGUAGCCGUUCUUCAACAAUGCUGGAUACCAUAGAUACCAGCUUAAAUUUGAGUUGAUUAAAAGAAACUCUUUGUUUAAAUAUAUAUAUAUAUUGUAUUCAUUGGUGGUAACUAUCAAGCAACAGCUGCCCAAUUCAAAUUUUCAUUUUACAGUUAGUGCCCUUUUCAUAAAAGGGUAGUUGCAAAGGAUAGCAUGAAAUAACAUUGAAACGCAUGGUCAAAGGCUUUUACAGCCAGAAUCAACCUGCUGUUGUGGGUUUUCCAGGCUGCGUGGCCACGGUUUGGUAGUUUUAGCUCUGAAAAUGCCAGCCACGGCCACAUAGCCCAGAAAAUCCACAACAGCCGAUAAUGAACUAGCCAUGAAAAUUCAUUUAAUGAGAAUGGAGAGCUCCUAACACACAUCUACAUUUUCCAUGGCUCACAACUAUUUUUUGACCCUGCUAUACAUCCUUUCAGUUUUCCUGGGCAUGUUAUUUUGUACAAAUACAGAAGCACUAACAAUUUUGAAGUUGUCUCUGAUACUAAAUGCUGUUGAAUUUGCUCCGGUCUUCCGGGCGGGGGGAUUCAUUCUUGUUUCUUUCUCCCACUCCCAUCCAAAAGCUGAGGGCAACCACAGAUAGGGCAGAUACCAGCUUGUAUUUAGAUAAAUACCACAAUGCUUAUCAAGGACCCAGUGAACUGCUUGAAACGGCCAAGUCUUUUGAUGUAAAGGCAGAUGAUGCAUCUCAAGGCCACAAGUCUGACACACCUGGACUUGGAACAGAAUCUUUGUGGUUUCAAAGACAUCAUGAUAGUAUUUGAAUUGAAUGAAUUCUCCACCCACCCCCCUUUAUAUUUAGAACAGUUAGCACCCAAUUACAAAAAUAUGCCAAUCCUGAAAUAAGAAUGGUCACUUAAAUGACAAAAAAAAAAUAGCAAUGCGAUACGGUCUUUUAUAUCAGUACACUUAUCUGUUUAUGUACAAUGUAGCUUUGCCCAUGUUUUUUACUCAGCAGUUUCUAAUUCAUUCAGGGCAAUUUUUACUUCUGGUUAUAUAUUUGGGUUUUUUUAAAGCCUGUUUGAAUGUUCAAGUCAUAGAAGUACCACUUCAAUAAUCACAUAACCACUGUAUGUUUGUAACAAGGAUAUAUGUUCUGCAGUAGUUUUUCGCAUUUGUUCUAUCACCUUGUUGGAAUUUUUUUUUACUUUGAGGUUUGGUUUUUGUUUUCAAGUUGUUUACAGCUUUAUAAAUAAAAUAAUCUACCAGGCUGUCCAUUCAAACUGGGCCUCUGGAGACUAUAAUCCUA